Molecule: ribosomal RNA, 497 nt
Filed under: uncultured bacterium
Lineage: Bacteria
Description: partial 16S ribosomal RNA
Rfam family: Bacterial small subunit ribosomal RNA
Source: RNAcentral
GACGAACGCUGGCGGCAUGCCUAAUACAUGCAAGUAGAACGCUGAAGAGAGGAGCUUGCUCUUCUUGGAUGAGUUGCGAACGGGUGAGUAACGCGUAGGUAACCUGCCUUGUAGCGGGGGAUAACUAUUGGAAACGAUAGCUAAUACCGCAUAACAAUGGAUGACCCAUGUCAUUUAUUUGAAAGGGGCAAAUGCUCCACUACAAGAUGGACCUGCGUUGUAUUAGCUAGUAGGUGAGGUAACGGCUCACCUAGGCGACGAUACAUAGCCGACCUGAGAGGGUGAUCGGCCACAUUGGGACUGAGACACGGCCCAGACUCCUACGGGAGGCAGCAGUAGGGAAUCUUCGGCAAUGGGGGCAACCCUGACCGAGCAACGCCGCGUGAGUGAAGAAGGUUUUCGGAUCGUAAAGCUCUGUUGUAAGUCAAGAACGAGUGUGAGAGUGGAAAGUUCACACUGUGACGGUAGCUUACCAGAAAGGGACGGCUAACUACGUG